Molecule: unclassified non-coding RNA, 332 nt
Filed under: soil metagenome
Description: partial contains 5.8S ribosomal RNA, internal transcribed spacer 2, and large subunit ribosomal RNA
Rfam family: 5.8S ribosomal RNA (bases 1-120)
Source: RNAcentral
GAUGAAGAACGUAGUAAAAUGCGAUAAGUAAUGUGAAUUGCAGAAUUCAGUGAAUCAUCGAAUCUUUGAACGCACAUUGCGCCCGCCAGUAUUCUGGCGGGCAUGCCUGUUCGAGCGUCAUUUCAACCCUCAAGCACAGCUUGGUGUUGGGACUCGCGUUAAUUCGCGUUCCUCAAAUUGAUUGGCGGUCACGUCGAGCUUCCAUAGCGUAGUAGUAAAACCCUCGUUACUGGUAAUCGUCGCGGCCACGCCGUUAAACCCCAACUUCUGAAUGUUGACCCCGGAUCAGGUAGGAAUACCCGCUGAACUUAAGCAUAUCAAUAAGCGGAGGA